Rhododendron vialii is the source of this 286-nucleotide long non-coding RNA. RefSeq lists it as uncharacterized. Lineage: Eukaryota; Viridiplantae; Streptophyta; Magnoliopsida; Ericales; Ericaceae. The transcript is spliced from 2 exons. The record is from RefSeq and is a predicted model, not a curated record.
AUAUUGAUUCAUACACAAUGAAUACUUCAACCGACGUGCACCAUAGAGUAACAUGAAAAUUACCUUCCGGAUCAAUUCAUACACAAAUAUAUACGUGUGUACAUAGAGAGAGAGAGAGAGAGAGAGAGAGAGAGAGAGAGAGAACCCACUUGGAUUCAAAUUCUUUGAUCUCAACAAGCUCUUUCCCCAAUUUGUCCAUCCAUUGGACUUUCUUCUUUGCAACCUCUUUCGGAGCACCCAAUUCAGUUGACAUCUUCCUGAUACAGCUCUUUCUGAAAUCAUUCUC